This 299-nucleotide long non-coding RNA is filed under the name Carica papaya (papaya). RNAcentral's name for it is "long non-coding RNA (CPAP_LNC009421)". The record is from RNAcentral. Lineage: Eukaryota; Viridiplantae; Streptophyta; Magnoliopsida; Brassicales; Caricaceae.
GGUAUUUAAAACUUUUUCAUAUUAUUCUUGAAAGCUAAGAAAUCAAGUGAUGCUUUAAAAAUCUAAAAGAUCAAAUCCGUAAAAACGGACAAGUGUCUCUCUAUCCUUUGUUCCCCUUUAAGUAAGAUCUCCUUGUUUUGACAGUUCUUCAAUGUGGUCCUGCACUUUUUAUUCUCAUAUUUAUAAAAAAAAUAGUGAGCCACCACUUGCUCAUUAAGAAUAGUUUAAGGCUUCAAUCUAAAGAUAAGAGAUAAUAUACUGAUUUGAACCAUUAUCUUUACCUCUAGCUUACCACGCCC